GAUGAACGCUAGUUACAGGCUUAACACAUGCAAGUCGUGGGGCAUCAUGAUGUAGUAAUACAUUGAUGGCGACCGGCGCACGGGUGAGUAACGCGUAUCCAACCUAUCCUCCACUCAAGUAUAGGCUUCCGAAAGGGAGAUUAAUCCUUGAUAUCGUCAUUCUCUCUCCCUGUUAGAAUGAUAAAAGGACAUCGUUUCGGUAGAGGAUGGGGAUGCGUUCCAUUAGGUAGUAGGUGGUUUAACAGGCCACCUAGCCGAUGAUGGAUAGGGGUUCUGAGAGGAAUAUCCCCCACACUGGUACUGAGAUACGGACCAGACUCCUACGGGAGGCAGCAGUGAGGAAUAUUGGUCAAUGGGCGCAAGCCCUGAACCAGCCAUGUAGCGUGAAGG
This 390-nucleotide ribosomal RNA is filed under the name Bacteroidetes bacterium oral taxon 272. Its description in RNAcentral is "bacterial SSU rRNA". It matches the Rfam family "Bacterial small subunit ribosomal RNA", at positions 28 to 407 of the family's 1533-position model. Lineage: Bacteria; Pseudomonadati; Bacteroidota. The record is from RNAcentral.